CGGAGGGCGUGGAGCGCCCCGCCGGCCAUUGGGCCACGGGCUUAGCAACAGCGGCAAGGGCCAACCCCGGCGCUCCAGCAGCUGGGCCUCCUUCCAAGGAUGGGUGCCAAACGCCGCGCUCCUCUGCCAAGAAAACAAACAAGGGCACUUUUAAAAACUCCAGAGUUAAACAGCAUGCUGCAGGUUCCCUCCUUCCCACCAGGAAUCUCUGCCGCCUGCAUCAGCGCUGAAACCUGCCUGCCCCUGCCACGCGUUUAUGGAACUUACAUAAUUUACUGCCUGUGUCACUCUCUCGUCUGCUACCUCUUCAUUCAUUUCAAGCCUGUUAAAGAAGUGGAAUAAGAAGCACGCAGACUUAACUAGGCAAAAAGUGGCUUGUAGCCACAAACCUUUUUUUUUUUUUUUUCCCUGCAGAGGAAGAAGAAAGAAUUUGGGAAUUCUGGUCUCGUUUUAUUAAAGAUAUAUUUUUACAUUAUAUUUUUAGUGCAGUCUUUCUUACAUAUUAGCCUUUGUGAUAGCUGAAGUUGGGGUAGCGCCAGACUUUUGCUGAGAAGAAAUAUGGACUGUGUUUUUUUACCAGCUGAGAAAUGUUCAGGUCCAUGGUGUGUCCCAAAAUCUCUUCUUUCCCUGUGAAGGAGUAAAGCAGAGAAGUCAAAGCCCAUUUCCAAGAAACACCAACUCUCUUCAGGUCCCCGUGGCUUAGCGCCUGCCCAGAGAGAGCGCUCGCCUUGGAUCCUGAUUUUGAGCACUAAAGGAAGAAAAUGGAACUGACUUUUCUGUUGCUGUUGUUGUUGUUGUUGCUAUAAGACACUCUGUAGGAGGUGAAGCCAAACUUACCUCUGGGGAAAUAUUAAACACUUCACAGAGAAAGGCCCAAAGAGGCAAAUAUUGCAGCUCUCUUCUCACGCCAGUCAUCCCAUUAACUUCAGAGACAUUGCUCCUAUGAGUGAGGCUGCUGGGGUCAGGCCUCUGUACACAGUAGCACCUCCAAAGGUUAAAGGAUGUCAUUUGCAGUCAUGAUCUUGUUUCACUUCCUACCUCCACCUCUGAUUUACUGAGAAACCUCAAAUAAAUCACUUAACCUCUCUAAGAAGGAGUUUACU
Molecule: long non-coding RNA, 1103 nt
Filed under: Junco hyemalis (dark-eyed junco)
Lineage: Eukaryota; Metazoa; Chordata; Aves; Passeriformes; Passerellidae
Description: lncRNA (ENSJHYG00000003473.1)
Source: RNAcentral